GACGUCAUCUGCAGGCCCUGGAGACGCGACUGCAGUUACCGAGUUUCUAAGGCCUCGUCCCCUGACGGGAAGGCGGCGUUGGGGGGCGGCUGGGUUUACCCUUCGAGGUGAGCGCGUCCUUGUUUUCAGGGACGCCCGGACGGGAGGCGUUUGUUGCUUUCGCAGCCGAGUGGUGGAAAUGUAUUGGCUCUUCAGGGCGGGUCUGGUAGUGUCUCGUCCGUUUGGGAGUGUUUUUUUUUUUUUCUGGAUUCUUUUUCGGUUCCAUGGGCCGGGCUGCUGCUCCUCUUCCCCCUCCAAUAUUUUGUUCCCCUUGCUCGAGAUCCCCGAGAGGCAGACCCCAAAGCCAGGAAAGUGGGGAGGUCGGAACCCUGGUUCUGGAAGAGGGCCUUGGGCAAGGCGUGAAGCGAUUCUGAAUCUGGUUCCUAUUGUUUUUUAUUUUAAAUGGAGUUGUCUAUUUGGAGUCAAGGCAAGAGUGUUUAGUCUUGGCCCUCCUAUUACAGAUCUCUGAUGGAUUUGUUGACUCCUCUGUGGGAGAAAGGCUUGGUCUACUGCAGGUGUUAACGCUAAGCCAGGCUGGAGCUGUGGACGUCAGUUUCCUCAGCUCCCCGCUGUUCGCUUCGAACGUGACCUCGACGUCUGCUCUCCCCUUCCCUUUAGCUGACAAUGUGACAGUGCUUGAAUAAAAGUCAGUCUGACAGGAACGGUAAUUUUUUUUCAGUGAAUAUCUUCAGUUACAGAAGAUAAAUAGAACUUGACAAUGAUUAUUUAUAGUGCCCUGAAAAAAAAUGGCUGCCAAUUUCCCUGUAUAUUACAAAGACAAAAGUAGCAUUGCUUCUUUUCUCACCUAACUUUAAACAUCUUAAGGGAAGUGCAUUACAGGAAGGCAAUGAGCAAAGGCUCAACAUUUCACAGUAAAGUCAGAUUUUCCACAUUUUAAUUUUAAAAUGUGUUUUUUAAACAUUAAGUUUUUUUUAAGACAAGUUUAUUCUGGAUUGUUUUGAUAAUCAAAUAAUAUAACUUAAUUCACUGAAGCUUCUAAAAUUAUUUACAAAUAUGAAAUAUAAGUCCUGGUUAGAAUUUGGAUAGUUUUAAAGCUUAAAAGAAUCCACAUGCUAACUUCUCAGUAUGAUUUAAUAAAUCAAAUUACUAAACAUGUAAUUUCUUCGACAGUUCACCUUUGGCCCUGUAAUAGGGUAACUGGUAUUGUGGAAGAAUAAUUAUAAAAUGUCAAAUCUUCAGCUGUUAUGAUUGAUUAAGUAUGGUGCUGUUGAGACUAAGCAGUAAAACAUGCCACAGAUUUAAAUUGAUUACUAUUUUUUUCAUAUUGAUGGGGUUUUUUUUGUUUUUGUUUUUGUUUUUGAGACAGAGUUUCCCUCUUGUUGCCCAGGCUAGAGUGCAGUGGCACAAUCUCUGCUCACUGCAACCCCUGUGUCCCGGGUUCAAGCAAUUCACCUGCCUCAGCCACCCGAGUAGCUGGGAUUACAGGCACCCACCGGUAUACGCAGAUAAUUUUUGUAUUUUUAGUAGAGACGGGGUUUCACCAUAUUGGCCAGGCUGGUCUCGAACUCCUGACCUCAGGUGACCCUCCUGCCUUUGCCUCCCAAAGUGUUGGGAUUACAGGCAUGAGCCACAGCGUCCGGCCCAUAUUGAUGCUUUUGACACUUUAUUGUAUAUAGCUACAUUUUCUACUGUGUGUAUUAAAUUAGUUUGGAAUCGAAAGAGCAAGAAAGUUGUUUUUUUUCCCCCACUCUUUGAAUAUAAAAAAAUAAAAAUCAGCACGAGUUAGCUGCUUUUUCCAUAGUAUGGACCUGGGAGGUAUAGUGUGAGCAUGGAUUCUGGAGCCAGCCCGAUACACUUAAUCUUGGCAUAUGUUGUAGGCAUGAGGUGGUGAUAAGGAUUGUAGGAGAUAAUGCACAGGAAGUACGUAGUAGUCUCCCAGCAAACAGCAGCCACAUGCUCUCAUUUGCUCAUACUUUUUUAUGUGUUAAGAAAAAUCCUACAUCUUUUUAAUGUGUAUUUUUAGAAAGUAAAUUAUGAAAUAUUUAGGACAUACUUAAAGGUAUAAAGUAUAAUGGAAUGAAUAGCCAUGUAUCCCCCACCCAAUUUAAGAAAUAAAAUAUCACCACUGGGCAUGGUAGCCCACCCCAUAAUCCCAGCACCUUGGGAGGCCAAGGCCAGUGGAUCAUUUGAGCCCAGGAGUUUGAGAUCAGCCUGGGCAACAUGGCAGAACCCUGUCUCUACGAAAAAAAAAGCCGUUGUGGUAGCCCAAGCCUGUAGUCCCAGCCACGCGGGAGGCUGAGGUUGGAGAAUCACCUGAGCCUGGGAGGUUGAGGCCACAGUGAGCUGUGGUCGUGCCACUGCACUCCAGCCUGGGCAACAAAGUUGGACCCUGUCUCUAAAUAAAUAAAUGAAACAAGAAAACAUCACUGAUACUGUGCGUAGCCUUUCCCAAUACAUCCCUCUUCCCUCUCUACAAACAGUUGCAACAAUCUGAAUGCUGCUUUAAUUUCCAGGCAUUUAAAAUUGUUUUACUAUAUAUGAAUAUAUACCUUAAAAUGUAGUAUUGCAUUUCAUCUUUCAAAACUGUUUUGAAAUAAUUUUACACAGAAAAUUUCAAGAAUGAGACCAAAAAAUCUUGUCUACCCUUUAUCCAAAUUCAUCAGUUGUUAACAUUUUGUCCCAUUUUUUCUAUCACUUGUGCUAUCUAUAUGUACAUGUAUACUCAAAUGUUUCUGAGUAGUUUGAGGUUUAUUUGCAGACAUUUUAAUAGAUAGAUAUACAUAGAUAGAUAUAAACACAGGCCCAGCUGGGUGGCUCACACCUAUAAUCCCAGCACUUUGGGAUGCCAAGACGGGUAGAUCACUUGAGGUUAGGAGUUCGAGACCAGCCUUGCCAACAUGGUGAAACCCCAUCUGUACUAAAAAUACAAAAAUUAGCCAGAUGUGGUGGCAGGCACCUGUAAUCCCAGUGACUUGGGAGGCUGAGGCAGGAGAAUUGCUCAAAAAUAUAUAUAAAGACAUAUAUAAUAUAUACACAUAUAUAUAUAGUGUGUAUAUAUACAUAUAUGAAUAUAUGUCAUACUUACCUAUAUAUGUAUUUCUUUUUUUUUAGAGAAGGAGUCUCACUGUGUUGCCCAGGCUGGUUUUGAACUCCUGGGCUCAAGCAGUCCUCCUGCCUCAGCCUCCCAAAGUGCUGAGAUUAUAGGCAUGAGCCAAUGUGCCCAGCCAGCUUGUUUCUUUAUCCAUAAAUAAUGUGUGUUUCCUCAGAAGGACUUUCUUCUACAUGGCAACAGUGAUUUAUCAAAAUCAGAAAAUGCAGCAUUUAUACAGCACUAUUAUAAAAUCCUGUGGUUUGAAUCAAACUGUACACUGAGGUACCUCACAUCCCCACAGUAAAUCCACGGGGGGAUAUCUGUGGAAUAGCUUGCAUUCUAAAUUUUCAAGGCAAACAAAAUGAAAUCUAAAUGACUGUACAAAACUACUAGCUUGAAGUUGUUUACAGUUUCAACAAUAGAUGGCGCCAAAUUCCUUGGCUAUGUCAUGUCUUGGGGCAUCUAGGCUUUCCAGUUGGUUGUGAUGAAAAGUGAGUACACUGGGCCGGGCGCAGUGGCUCACGCCUGUAAUCCCAGCACUCUGGGAGGCCGAGGCGGGCGGAUCACGAGGUCAGGAGAUCGAGACCAUUCUGGCUAACACAGUGAAACCUCGUCACUACUAAAAAAUACAAAAAAUUAGCUGGAUGUGGUGGUAGGCGCCUGUAAUCCCAGCUACUCGGGAGGCUGAGGCAGGAGGAUACCUUGAACCUGGAAGGCGGAGGUUGCAGUGAGCCGAGAUAGCACCACUGCACUCCAGCCUGGGUGACAGAGCGAGACUCCCUCUCAAAACAAAACAAAACAAAACAAAACCCUGAGAUGCUGAAAGCACUGUGAACAAAGAAAAUUUGGGAAACUUUUAUCUAAUUCACAGUUAACACUCAAAUUUCACCAUUUGUCCCAAUAAUAUUCUUUAUAGCUGUGUUUGACUUGGUCAACUGGUCUAGGAUCUAAUCUAGGAUCAUUUAGUUACAUAUCUUUAGUCUUUAAGCUGGAAUGGUUCCUCAGCUUUUCUUUUUCUUUCAAAAUGACGGUUAUUUUUAGAAUAUUCCUCAAUUUGUGUUUGUUUGUGUAUUCUUGAAAUUAGAGUCAGUUAUGUUAUAUUUGGCUGGAAUACCACAGAAAAGAUGUUAUGGGCCAGGAUUACAGGCUUGAGCCACCAUGCCCAGUCACUUUCUUACUUUCUUAGCACAGCAACAAGCCCUGCUUCCAAGGAUCCUUUUAAUGGAGGAUGGUAUUUAGAAACCAAGAUCUGGGUGCUAGGUGUUCUCAGUAGUACUAGAGUGUCUUUGCUUUUGGACCUUUCAGUUGAUUGAGCCAAAAAAAGAGAUAUAUGUACAUAUAUACAUGCAUCUGAAUCCAUUUAUUAAAGUAUAGUUUAUAUGGAUAAUACCAAUGCAUUUUAGCAUAACAGGAUUUGUUCUAGUCUUCCCCCUUUCCAUAAUUAUGACUUCCUGCUUCAACAGUGAGAAACUUGGCUCCUUUUAUCCUCAGUAUAUUUACUCAUUUGCUCAAUCCUACACUACAUAGGAAGUAGUUUCAGAGUUGCUAACCCAUACCAUUUUAAAAAACAAAAGCCCUUUGAACUAGAGUUCAGUAUUUGUUUAUGACUUUUUGUCCAAAACUGACAAAUACAGUUUGUCAUAUAGUAUAAGUAUUGUGUUCAAACGUUAGUUGGGUUAAUCCUUUUUUUUCCUUCUUCAGUGUGGUUAUGGUUUGCAUUCGAAAUACAAUUAAGCUCAUUUGUUUCUUUAGUAUUGUAGCUUCAGUUUUUUGCCCCUCAUGAUUAGUGACUUUAUUAACGUUUUUGGGUAUGUAAAACAUUAACAGAUUCAAAGUUAAAGCAAUACAAUCAGUAUACCCACAUGAGUGUCACUUUCACCCUUCAUUCCAAUCCUUUUCACCACUUCCCACCUACCUGCUGUGGGCAACCAAUCACAUAGACUGUGAUUUACUCCUUCCUGUGUUUCUUUUUAUAGAAAAUAGACAGUUACAUGUAUAUUUUCUCAUUUCUCUUUAUGACACAAAAAAGUAACAUUGUAUGUGUGUGCACAAUUUUGAAAUUUGCUUUUACACUUAAUAUAUUCUGGAAAGGACCACAUGCUAUUUCACUAUUAUGUAAAAAAAGAUCAUACUCCUUUUUUAUAGCUACACAGCACAGUAUCCCAUUGUGUGUAUAUACAUUUUUUUUCAGUUAAUAUAUUUAGGGGCAUUUAUGUAUUUUUGUACUAUUAUGGGUAUGUCUUCAAGGUAAAAUUCUUUAAAAAAUGGAAUUACUGGGUCAAAGGUAAAUGUAAAUUUACUUUUAUUAUAUAUUGCCAAAUUCUGUAAGGUAACGUUUUGAGAAUUUUUGCAUUAAUAUUCUUAAGUAAUGUUGGAAGUAAGUAAUAUUAUUAAGUAAUACUAAAGUAAUUUUAUGCUACCUUUGCCUUGUUUAGAUACUAAUGUUAUACUUGCAUCAUAGGCUAGGUGCUGUGGCUCAUGUCUGUAAUCCCAGCACUUUCAUAAGUGGAAGUGGGAGGAUCUGUUGAGGCCGGGAGAUCAAGACCAGCCCUGGCAACAUAGUGAGACCUUGUCUCUAUAAAAAUAAAGACUCAGGCAGGAGAAUCACUUGAGCCCAGGAGUUCAAGGUUACAGUGAACUAUGAUCUCACUGCUGCACUCCAGCCUGGGUGACAGACCAAGACCUUGUCCCUCAAAAUCCCACCAACACACACAUAGUUGACAGUUUUAAAAAAUGUUUCUAUGCUCUGGAAUAAUUUAUCUGACAAAAUUUAUUUUUUAUUUUUUUUUCAGAGACGGGGCUUCGCCAUCUUUCCCAGGCUGGUCUCAAACUCCUGAGCUCAAGUGACCCUCCUGCCUUGGCCUCCCAGAGUGCUGGGAUUACAGGCAUGAGCAAUGGUGCCUGGCCCAAAAUUCAUACAUUAGCAAAAGUAGGGAGAAUAAAGUAAUGAACACUCAUUUUCCACCUUCAGCAAUAUCAACGUGGAUCAAUCUUGUUUCAUCUAUACCCCAGAUUAUUUUGGGGCAAACUAUAAAUAUAGUUAUACUAUAACUAUCCAUAUCUUAUUAUGUACUUUAGAAGGUGAAGCUCUUAAAAUACAGACAUAAAUGAAAUCUAACUGGCAUACUGUGGUAAGCCGAAUUCUAAGAUGGCCUCUAAGAUUCCUGGCCCCUGGUACACACAUACCUUUUCCCAGUUAGUUAAUCAAACAUGAAUUUGGGUGCUGCUACAAAGGGAUUUUGGUAAUUAAGUUCCCAGAUCAGUUGUUUUUACGCUGAAGAUAUUAUCCUCCAUGGGCCUGACCCAAUCAGAUGAGUCCUUAAGUAGGAUAGGGCUUUUCCUGGCAAAAGAUAUUAAAAAUGUGAGAAGCAUUCAAUAGGAGGAAGGUUCUCCAGGAUGGAAGGGGAUACUUAGCAAGGACCUAAGAGUGGCCUCUUGGAGCUAAGAGUAACCCCCAGCCAACAGCAAGAAAAUGAGCAGCUCAGUCCUACAACCAGAAGUAACUGAAUUCUGCCAAAAACCUGAAUGAGCCUGGAAGGAGCUCCUGAGCUCUGAUGAGAACCCAGCUGUCUGCUACCUUCAUUGCAGCCUUGUGAGACUUUUUUUUUCUGAGACAGGGUCUCGCUCUGUUGCCCAGGCUGGAGUGCAGUGGCACGAUGUCAGCUCAUUGCAGCCUCUGGCUCCCAGGUUCAAGUGAUUCUCCUGCCUCAGUCUCCCGAGUAGCUGGGAUUACAGGCGCCUGUCACCACACCCGGCUAAUUUUGUAUUUUUAGUAGAGAUGGGGUUUCACCACGUUGGCCAGGAUGGUCUCGAACUCCUGAUCUCAAGCGAUCUGCCCACCUCAGCCUCCCAAAGUGCUGGGAUUACAGGCGUGAACCACUGCACCCAGCCUACUUUUUUUUUUUUUUUGAGAUAGGCUCUCUCUGUUGCCCAGGCUGGAAUGCAGUGGCACAAUCAUAACUCACUGCAGCCUUGACCUCCUGGGCUCAAGUGAUCCUCCUAUCUCAGUCUUCCGAGUAGCUGCGACUACAGGUCUGUAGCACCAUGCCUGGCUAGUUAUUUUUUGUAGAGGCAAGCUCUCACUAUGUUGCCCAGGCUAGUCUUAAAUUCCUCGCCUCGAAUGAGCCUCCCACCACAGCCUCCCAAAAUGCUGGGAUUACAGGCCUGAGCCACCAUCCUGGCCCCUUGUGAGAUUUCUGGGCUAGAGAACCCAGCCUCUGUAUGCCUUAUCAUCUGACCUACAGGACUGCAAGAUGUUUAAUGUCUGUUGUUUGAAACUGUUGAAUUUGCAGUAAUUUGUUAUGCAGCAAUAGAAAACUAAUAUACAUACUGAAAAGUUGGUAGUAAUUCCUCUCAGUGACCAAGUUUUUGUGGGAAAGUUUUUAACUACAAAUUCAAUUUUUUAAGGAGUUCUGCUUCCAGUAUGGUAGUGUAAACCCUUUCAGAUAAUUCUCCCACUGAUUAAAAAACAAUAACAGGGCUGGGCGUGGUAGCUCAUGCCUGUAAUUCCAGCACUUUGGGAGGCCAAGGCAGGCAGAUCACUUGAGGCCAGGAGUUCGAGACCAGCCUGCACAACAUGACAAAACCCCAUCUGUACUAAAAAUACAAAAAUCAGCUGGGUUUGAUGGUACACACCUGUACUCCUAGCGACUUGGGAGGCUGAGGUGGGAGGAUUGGUUGAAUCCAAGAGCCAGAGAUUGCAAUGAGCCGAGAUCAUGCCAUCACACUCCAAUCUGGGUAACACAGUGAGACUCUUCCUCAAGAAAGAAAAAAA
Molecule: long non-coding RNA, 7865 nt
Filed under: Homo sapiens (human)
Lineage: Eukaryota; Metazoa; Chordata; Mammalia; Primates; Hominidae
Description: non-protein coding DNAJC27-AS1:21
Source: RNAcentral